AUCUAGCCCCGAUAGAAGUGGAAAUCCUUUUGUACCGAGGUUCGGUACAAAAGAUUGCAGCGGAUAGCGGGACUAAAC
RNAcentral lists this small RNA (78 nucleotides) under Flavobacterium phragmitis. RNAcentral describes it as "Flavo-1 RNA". It matches the Rfam family "Flavo-1 RNA". Lineage: Bacteria; Pseudomonadati; Bacteroidota; Flavobacteriia; Flavobacteriales; Flavobacteriaceae. The record is from RNAcentral.